UUGGACACAGCACACAUACAAAAUAUUUGCGCUCGCUCCCCAACACUCAUCUCUUGCAAGCCAUGGCCUCUGCAACUCUCCCACUCCCUCUCCGGUCACACCUCACUCGCCUCAAACCCCCUAUCAGCCACGCGCCAAGAGCCCUCGCCUGUCACGUCAAACUCUCCCACAGCCACUCCAACCCUUUCCCGCCAUUUUCACUUCUUCGAAGCAGAUCAAAAGGCGUCGUGAGGCCCCCUUCUGCCUACGUAUCGGGUCCUGCUUCCGACCCGAUAAUCACCGAGCCGGACCCCAAGGUGGAGAGUUCGAACGAUGCUCAUGAUGAAACUGUUGAGCCGCCGAGUGCGAUCAGUUCGAGUCUCUUGUGGAGUCUCCUGAUGCGGUACAAGCUGAGACUCGCUGUUUCGGCCGUCACUCUCAUUGGUUGCUCCGCUUGUACUCUCUCAAUGCCUCUAUUUUCAGGGAGAUUUUUUGAAGUACUUAUAGGCACUAGACCAGAACCUCUGUGGAGACUGCUUAGUACUGUUGGAGUGCUGUAUACAUUGGAGCCAGUUUUAACUAUUAUUUAUGUUGUAAACAUGAAUACUAUUUGGGAGAAGGUUAUGUCAACCUUACGCGCUCAGAUUUUUAGAAGACUAUUGAUUCAGAAGGUGGAGUUUUUUGACCGAUACAAGGUUGGCGAACUCACUGCUUUGUUAACAUCUGACUUGGGUUCUCUUAAAGAUAUUGUGAGUGAAAACAUUUCAAGGGAUCGUGGAUUCAGGGCACUUUCUGAGGUCAUUGGCACAAUAUGCAUCCUGUUCACUUUAGCCCCCCAACUUGCACCAAUUUUGGGCAUACUGAUGCUUACUGUAUCUGUUUUAGUUGCUGUAUACAAGCGGUCAACUGUGCCUGUUUUUAAAGCUCAUGGAUUGGCCCAAGCUUCCAUAUCAGAUUGUGCAACAGAAACAUUUUCUGCAAUUCGUACUGUAAGAUCCUUUAGUGGCGAAAAGCGUCAAAUGUCUAUGUUUGGUAGUCAGGUUAUGGCUUUUCAGAGUAGUGGUAUAAAGCUUGGGACCUUCAAAUCUCUUAAUGAAUCACUGACUAGAGUUGCCGUCUAUAUUUCUUUGAUGUCCUUGUAUUGUCUUGGUGGAAGCAAAGUAAAAGCGGGUGAACUCUCUGUUGGAACCAUUGCUUCUUUUAUUGGAUACACUUUCACAUUAACUUUUGCUGUUCAAGGGCUGGUUAAUACAUUUGGAGAUCUUCGUGGAAGUCUUGCUGCUGUUGAGAGGAUUAAUUCUGUGUUUUCUGGGGGACAAAUUGAUGAGGCCCUUGCCUAUGGUUUAGAAAGAGACAUCCGGAGAAAAGAAGUGGAUGAUGAAAAACUUGGAUUAUUCUUUGUCAAUGGUUUUGAAGAAAAAAACAUAUUUCCAAAUAUUCAUUACAUGUCAGCCUUGAGAUCAGCUAGCAAUGUGCAUAGCCUAGCUUGGUCUGGUGAUGUUUGUCUUGAAGAUGUGCAUUUUUCUUACCCUUUGAGGCCUGAUGUGGAAAUCCUAAAUGGUCUUAAUCUAAGGCUAAAAUGUGGAACUGUAACUGCUCUAGUUGGCUCAAGUGGUGCUGGGAAAAGUACAAUAGUACAGCUAUUGGCACGUUUUUAUGAGCCAAGCAGGGGCUGCAUAACAGUUUCCGGAGAGGAUGUUCGAACAUUUGACAAGAGCGAAUGGGCUCGGGUUGUCUCUAUAGUAAACCAAGAACCUGUUCUAUUCUCGGUGUCUGUUGGAGAAAAUAUUGCCUAUGGGCUUCCAGACAAUAAUGUAUCCAAGGAUGAUGUGAUAAAGGCAGCCAAAGCUGCUAAUGCUCAUGAUUUCAUAAUUUCUCUUCCUCAGGGUUAUGACACUCUAGUUGGUGAGCGUGGAGGUCUACUGAGUGGAGGACAACGGCAGAGAAUUGCCAUUGCAAGAGCUCUUCUCAAGAAUGCCCCAAUCCUAAUACUUGAUGAGGCGACAAGUGCCUUGGAUGCAAUCAGUGAGCGCCUGGUUCAAGAUGCUCUGAGCCAUCUGAUGAAAGGAAGGACAACAUUAGUGAUUGCACACAAGUUAAGUACAGUUCAGAAUGCAGACCAGAUAGCUCUUUGUUCCAGUGGAAGGAUUGCAGAGCUUGGGAGUCACUUUGAGUUAUUGGCUAAGAAGGGCCAAUAUGCUUCAUUAGUUGGCACUCAGAGACUUGCUUUUGAGUGACAUGAAAUUGCAGGGUAUUCCAUUUUCUCUAAAUAACUGCAGAAUCCAAACAUGAUCUUGAGGGCGAGUUGCAUUGAAAGAGAAGAUACGGUUUGAGAAAGAACAAUGUGACACUUAAUAGAAUGUGACCCAGAGAGUGUCCCCAUUUCAUCAAGAUUAAGGCCUCUUGGUGCAAGAUUAUUCUCAAGCUAUUUGUCAUUGAGGAAAGGAGGGGGCAGGUGUUGGGAAGGCUCAUCUUUGAGUGGCACUUUCAUCGCGUGGCAAAACAUGGUUGAUUCCACCAACGUUCAGGCUGUUGCACGCAACAAAUGCAAGGACAUCUGCACAUGUAAUAGUUUGUGGUCAUUGAGCUUCAAUUCCAGCCUUUGCUCCAUCAAUCACUCUGACAGGGAUAUUCUUAUCUGAUUAGGAACAUAUAGGAAUAGAUUUUGGCUGAGAGACGAGUCUCUUUUCAGGUAUAAUUGGUACUUUGGGAUUUGAGAGCUUUAGGCCAAAUCAUGUACAUCAUUGUGUGCUUUGUAUAUUUAUUCUCUUAUUUUAUUCUUCUCAUUAUUAUUC
Molecule: RNA transcript, 2774 nt
Organism: Vitis vinifera (wine grape)
Lineage: Eukaryota; Viridiplantae; Streptophyta; Magnoliopsida; Vitales; Vitaceae
Gene name: ABC transporter B family member 28
Exons: 17
Source: RefSeq, a predicted model, not a curated record